This 465-nucleotide ribosomal RNA is filed under the name uncultured bacterium. RNAcentral describes it as "partial 16S ribosomal RNA". It matches the Rfam family "Bacterial small subunit ribosomal RNA", at positions 338 to 795 of the family's 1533-position model. The record is from RNAcentral.
CCUACGUGCGGCAGCAGUGGGGAAUAUUGCGCAAUGGGCGAAAGCCUGACGCAGCGACGCCGCGUGAGGGAUGAAGGUCUUCGGAUCGUAAACCUCUGUCAGCAGGGAAGAACGGUCACUGUGCUAAUCAGCAGUGAAUUGACGGUACCUGCAAAGGAAGCACCGGCUAACUCCGUGCCAGCAGCCGCGGUAAUACGGAGGGUGCGAGCGUUAAUCGGAAUUACUGGGCGUAAAGCGCUCGUAGGCGGUAUGUCAAGUCAAGGGUGAAAUCCCCGCGCUCAACGUGGGAACUGCCUUUGAAAAUGGCAAACUGGAGUGUGUGAGAGGAUAGUGGAAUUCCAGGUGUAGGAGUGAAAUCCGUAGAUAUCUGGAGGAACAUCAGUGGCGAAGGCGACUAUCUGGCACAUAACUGACGCUGAGGAGCGAAAGCGUGGGUAGCAAACAGGAUUAGAUACCCUAGUAGUC